Molecule: transfer RNA, 91 nt
Filed under: Actinotalea fermentans
Lineage: Bacteria; Bacillati; Actinomycetota; Actinomycetes; Micrococcales; Cellulomonadaceae
Description: tRNA-Ala
Source: RNAcentral
GAACGGGCAGUCCGGCUACUUCGACCGGGCGCUGGCGGUGUACGGGCAGGCCGGUCGGCCGUGUCGCCGGUGCGGCGCCGUCGUCGUCCGC